ACCCCCGUAGCUCAGCGGAUAGAGCACCGGCCUCCGGAGCCGGUGGCGGGAGUUCGAGUCUCCCCGGGGGUGCCA
Molecule: transfer RNA, 75 nt
Filed under: Chloroflexota bacterium
Lineage: Bacteria; Bacillati; Chloroflexota
Also listed under: 2 other names
Description: Chloroflexi bacterium tRNA-Arg
Rfam family: tRNA
About the family: Transfer RNA (tRNA) molecules are approximately 80 nucleotides in length. Their secondary structure includes four short double-helical elements and three loops (D, anti-codon, and T loops). Further hydrogen bonds mediate the characteristic L-shaped molecular structure. tRNAs have two regions of fundamental functional importance: the anti-codon, which is responsible for specific mRNA codon recognition, and the 3' end, to which the tRNAs corresponding amino acid is attached (by aminoacyl-tRNA synthetases). tRNAs cope with the degeneracy of the genetic code in two manners: having more than one tRNA (with a specific anti-codon) for a particular amino acid; and 'wobble' base-pairing, i.e. permitting non-standard base-pairing at the 3rd anti-codon position.
Source: RNAcentral